CACAAGCUGGAUAGAAUGGGCCACAUCAAAACUGCAGGCCACAUUUGCCCACCCCAGCACUAGGGGUUCUGAUAAGCCGGGACAUGGACAGGAGCCAGGACAGUCCCUCCUCUGAGAGUGUUGCAUGCUCUCCAGGAACUGGAACAUCUCUUCUUGGGGUACAGCUAGGACCAAGAGAUCUGUGGACCCACAGAGCCCACCAACUUAUGGCAAUCUUCCCUAUGGCUCUGUGGUUUGUUGGGCUCCUCCUGACUUCUGGGUCCUAAAGAUCAUAUUUGUUGUGUCUCCUGUCUUUGAAACCAUGGUGCGUAUCAGGGAAAAAAAUGUACUUCUGCAGCAAAUAAAGCAGAUGAUGAUGAUUCUACCAAAUGACUUGCCAACUGCAACUAUGAGGAAGAUUUUUCAGUGACUGACACGCAUGAAAUGAUUCUGGGGUACUUGUCUGAGAAAAUGUCUUCCCUUUAUUUUUGUAAUGGUAUAAAAGGUCUGAUUUAAAUCUUUGUCACCAUAAGGAGAACUGGCAAUGAGGACUUCUGAACUUCACCAUACUUCACAGCCACUCUCAAAUAUGAAUGUUGACAUUGUGUUUAUCCUAAAUGCCCUACCCUGAUACUUUAACAAAUUUGUCUCAAACUAACAAAAAACGGAUACACAAGUGGUAUGGCUUACAUAACAAAGGGUAAUCUUAUGCCCAAAAAGGAGGGCAAUGCUCUGGUAACCUUUCUCCAAGCACUGUUUUUACAUAUUUCUCAAUUAUUCUUCAAUGUAAAAUCUACAUUAAUAUAUAACUUGAAUCAUUCCAUUGCAAAUCAUAGUAUUCUUAAUUGCAUUUUAAUUAUGGGAUCACAGUCUCUCCCAAUGGGUUUCCAUCAUUGCAAAUGUAAAGUUAAACUGACUCUCCAAGUAUAGCAUGAUCUGAAAACAAAUGGAUUACAUAGUCCUCAACUAUGUCCACUGCAUCUACCUGUGUAACCUGGAUAUAGCGAUACAUGAAAUACUUUCAGAAGAGAUGUGAUAGUUGAAAGAAUCAGCCAGUUUCUCAUAAAGUGGGGUGGAAUAAUGAUACAAGGAUAGAGAUUGUAUUGUCCCUAUCUGGGUUUUUCCUAUUCUUUUUUGUAUGUACAGGUUUUCCAUUGACUUUCUAAUGUAA
This is a long non-coding RNA of Alligator mississippiensis (American alligator), 1150 nucleotides long. RefSeq lists it as uncharacterized. The transcript has 3 exons. Lineage: Eukaryota; Metazoa; Chordata; Crocodylia; Alligatoridae. The record is from RefSeq and is a predicted model, not a curated record.